Molecule: ribosomal RNA, 495 nt
Filed under: uncultured bacterium
Lineage: Bacteria
Description: partial 16S ribosomal RNA
Rfam family: Bacterial small subunit ribosomal RNA
Source: RNAcentral
AUGCACGCUGGCGGCGUGCCUCAUCCCUGCCAGUCGCGCGAACAGACGAGGAGCUUGCUCCUCUGACGUUAGCGGCGGACGGGUGAGUAACACGUGGAUAACCUACCUAUAAGACUGGGAUAACUUCGGGAAACCGGAGCUAAUACCGGAUAAUAUAUUGAACCGCAUGGUUCAAUAGUGAAAGACGGUUUUGCUGUCACUUAUAGAUGGAUCCGCGCCGCAUUAGCUAGUUGGUAAGGUAACGGCUUACCAAGGCGACGAUGCGUAGCCGACCUGAGAGGGUGAUCGGCCACACUGGAACUGAGACACGGUCCAGACUCCUACGGGAGGCAGCAGUAGGGAAUCUUCCGCAAUGGGCGAAAGCUUGACGGAGCAACGCCGCGUGAGUGAUGAAGGUCUGCGGAUCGUAAAACGCUGUUAUUAGGGAAGAACAAAUGUGUAAGUAACUAUGCACGUCUUGACGGUACCUAAGCAGAAAGCCACGGCUAACUACGU